This is a long non-coding RNA of Lucilia sericata (common green bottle fly), 2102 nucleotides long. RefSeq lists it as uncharacterized. Lineage: Eukaryota; Metazoa; Arthropoda; Insecta; Diptera; Calliphoridae. The record is from RefSeq and is a predicted model, not a curated record. The transcript is spliced from 2 exons.
CAAAUUAUAUAUUUGCUCUCGGACGGCCAAAAGCCGUUUUUACAAUGACCCCGUCGCAAAGCAUGCAAACAGCUAACGCCGUUGUACAAUUUAAGCGGCUUUGUUCUCUGCAGUGGUGCGCGUUGCAGUCGAAAAAUGACAGUUGUACGAGGUGGUUCGUUAAAUGUACGAGUUUAUUCAGUGUUUUAUUUUUUUGCGAAUUUGCGGUAAUCGGUUCAAUAAUUUAAAGUGUGAAAAUUGGAUUAAGAAAAAUUCUAAAUAAAAAUAUUAAAAAAAUCUAAAUUAAAAAGCUAAAAUAUUGAAUAAAGUUUUGAAUAGAUAAAAGUGCUUUGCCCGAAAAUCGAAGAAAUAUAUACAGUUUUUUCAAUAAAAUAACUGUAAAUUAUAUAUGUACCUAUGCAUAAUUUUUUUGCUGUGUGCAAAUACAAAUAAGAAGGUAUAAAAGUAAUAAAUUAAUAAAAAAGCAUAUAGCGAAUAAUUAUAAAAUAAACGACUUGCCUUUCUUUAUAAUGAAAAGUUAAAAAGAAUUCUUAUAAGAAUUUUCUAAAGUUGUGCAAAAUAUGAAAACAGCAAUAAAAAAGUUUUGCUUCUUUUUUUUAUGUGUGAGAGCCAGACAUUGAAAUCCUGUUUUUGUGUACAACAAAAACAAUAAUAAAUAAUAAUAGCAACAACAAGAACGACACAACAAAACAUAAAUAUACAAACAAAAAUAAAAGAAAACGAAAAAAAUAUGUAUUUUCCUUUCAUCCUGUAAAAGUUUAUAUGAAAGUUGGUGCGUGUGUGUAUACAAAUUAAGAGAAAAGUGCAGUUAAUAUUUUGGAAAAGAGAGCAAAUUAACUACAGUGAAUUAUUAAAGAAUAUUAAAUUGAAAAUUUAAAGAAAAGUAAACAAUAAAUAAAAUAAUAAUAACGCAUUGCAAAAGAAUUGCGUAUUAUGAAAAUAAAAAUUGUGCAAAAAAACAAUUAAAAUUUUGUAUAACAUUUUUUUGGCACUCUCCCUUUUCUCUCCACAAUUGUCUACUCCUUAUUUAACAGGGUUGUUUUUGUUGUUAAUAAACAAAAGAUAAUAAAACCCAACAUAGACAACAACAACCAACAAAUAAGAAUAAUAAAAGAAAUAACAACAACAACAACAACAAAUAAUAAUAUCUAACAAGCAUUUUGCUGUGCAAGAAAGGAAAAAAACCAACAACUAAACUAAAAGUUGUAUUGUUUUUGUUGUGUUUUUAGUAGACAGUGAGUAGAAAAGAAGCCUCCCCUUUCUUUUGAUAUUUGUGUUGUCCCUGUCAAAUCCAUAAAUAAACUCACGCAACAACACUAGGAUUCCUCACCUUUUAUGUUUUGUACAAAUUUGCCGCCUGGAAUUUUGAAAUGCGCGUAAUUUACUCUCCUUGCUGCAACAACGACAACAACAACAACAACAACAAGAACAAACAUCAGGGAGGAAACGCUUAAUUACUUUUUAUUUUACUUCAAACAACUGAAUACGUAAACUUAAUCAUCAUCCACAACGUAAUCAUCAUUGGCUAUUGUUAUCCUGGUUCUGAGUUUAAACUUUUUCAUGGUUUCAUCUUUUAUGGAUUAUUCAAAAAUACGAAAAAAUACACUUUACUUUAUACAGUGUUUUUUUUUUUGUUGCCUUCUGUUAAGUACAUAUUUGACAGCAACUGUCAAAAAGUGCAUAUCGAAUAAAACAAACUACCAACAACUUGCAAUUUAAAACUUCAAUUUUCAAAAUAAAACGACUUUGAAAAAAGCUAAGAAAAACAAAACUCUUUUACAAAAAUGUCUCGUCAAUUUAUAUAUAGAUUUUACUAUAAUCAAACGACUUAAGAAGUUUACACAAAUUAAACUUCUAGAAUAAAUUAAGAAAAUAAAAAUUAAAAUAAGAAAAUAAAAAAGAAACGUCAAAAGAAUAAAAUCAACAGCCAAGUAUUAUUUGGUCAAUUUGUAAAAAUCUACUUUUACAUAUUGUUUUUAUUUAAAAUUUUUUAUUUUUCGUUAAAAAGAAAACUCAACUCUGCAAUAAUUUUUUUUUGGAAAAUCAUAGACUGUUACAUUGCAAAACUAAUUAAUGUCAAUUAAAAAUUAUUAACAAAAAAA